UGAAGACAUUUAUUUUCUUUGUUAGACCUGCCACUUGAGUAUCUGGUCAAAUAAUGGAUAAUGUGUUCGAAAUCAGUGAAGGAAUGUGAACACUUUGGGAGAAAGACUACAGGUUUGGAGGCCACUCUAAAGAUGAACCCUCUAUCCUGACACCUCUGGAGCAGUGCUGCAGGAUUUGUCGCUCCACCCUCCUGCGUGUCUACGUCUCCUUCUCCCUGCUACAGUCUCUGUGACGUCAUGAGGGACUCUCUUUUCCACGAUCCUCUAUUCUUCGUGGCCCCUCUCUGAGCUGCACCUCUCUGCCCUGGACCGUUCCCUAGCGACCGUGCUCAGAACUGUGAGCCGUUGCCAGGAGCGACAGUGUAGCCGCCAUGGAGGCGAGGAUGAUGUCACUCAUUAUACGACCUUCGUUACACCUGUGACACAUGCAGGGUACACUCUUAGAAAAAAGGGUUCUUUGGCUGUCCCCAUAGGAGAACCCUUUUGGUUUCUACAUGGAACC
Long non-coding RNA from Coregonus clupeaformis (lake whitefish), 502 nucleotides. RefSeq lists it as uncharacterized. Lineage: Eukaryota; Metazoa; Chordata; Actinopteri; Salmoniformes; Salmonidae. The record is from RefSeq and is a predicted model, not a curated record. The transcript is spliced from 3 exons.